GACGAACGCUGGCGGCGUGCCUAAUACAUGCAAGUAGAACGCUGAAGGAGGAGCUUGCUUCUAUGGAUGAGUUGCGAACGGGUGAGUAACGCGUAGGUAACCUGCCUGGUAGCGGGGGAUAACUAUUGGAAACGAUAGCUAAUACCGCAUAACAGUAGAUAUCGCAUGAUAUCUACUUGAAAGGUGCAAUUGCAUCACUACCAGAUGGACCUGCGUUGUAUUAGCUAGGUGGUGAGGUAACGGCUCACUAAGGCGACGAUACAUAGCCGACCUGGGAGGGUGAACGGCCACACUGGGACUGAGACCCGGGCCAGACUCCCUCGGGAAGGAGCAGUAGGGAAUCUUCGGCAAUGGACGGAAGUCUGACCGAGCAACGCCGCGGGACAGAAGAAGGGUUUCGGAUCGUAAAGCUCUGUUGUAAGAGAAGAACGAGCGUUAUACUAGAAAGGGCACACUGUGACGGUACCUUACCAGAAAGCAACGGCUAACUACGUG
RNAcentral lists this ribosomal RNA (495 nucleotides) under uncultured bacterium. RNAcentral's name for it is "partial 16S ribosomal RNA". It matches the Rfam family "Bacterial small subunit ribosomal RNA", at positions 28 to 507 of the family's 1533-position model. The record is from RNAcentral.